RNAcentral lists this ribosomal RNA (447 nucleotides) under uncultured organism. RNAcentral's name for it is "partial 16S ribosomal RNA". It matches the Rfam family "Bacterial small subunit ribosomal RNA", at positions 333 to 797 of the family's 1533-position model. The record is from RNAcentral.
ACACUCCUACGGGAGGCAGCAGUGGGGAAUAUUGGACAAUGGGCGCAAGCCUGAUCCAGCCAUGCCGCGUGAGUGAUGAAGGCCCUAGGGUUGUAAAGCUCUUUUGUGCGGGAAGAUAAUGACGGUACCGCAAGAAUAAGCACCGGCUAACUUCGUGCCAGCAGCCGCGGUAAUACGAAGGGGGCUAGCGUUGCUCGGAAUCACUGGGCGUAAAGGGUGCGUAGGCGGGUCUUUAAGUCAGGGGUGAAAUCCUGGAGCUCAACUCCAGAACUGCCUUUGAUACUGAAGAUCUUGAGUUCGGGAGAGGUGAGUGGAACUGCGAAUGUAGAGGUGAAAUUCGUAGAUAUUCGCAAGAACACCAGUGGCGAAGGCGGCUCACUGGCCCGAUACUGACGCUGAGGCACGAAAGCGUGGGGAGCAAACAUUAUUAGAUACCCCUGUAGUCCC